CGGACUGUGCCCAAGAGAAUCAAAUUUCCAGCCAUUCAGUGGACAUUUAAGUUUGUUUCUGUUUGCAUGGAAAGCUAGCAACUGCCUGCAGCAGCUCUCCAGAAAUUAGAAGCAAAGGCUCGUGAGCUCGGCAAACAUUCUCCAUGGUUAUGGAAGCCUUGUGCUAAUGAAGCCUGUGUGGCGUAAGUCUGCAAAGUCAGAGGACCGGGUGUUCUUCACACUCUCUGCUGCCACGCCUCCUUAAGCCCUGACGCCCAGCCUCCCCUGGGGAUCUGUGUGGCCGCCUGACCCUCUUCUCCACAUUCUGAGGAAAGAGGACUUAACACGGCUGGCCUUUCAGAGCAGAGGGUCUCCCCCACAGCAGGCCCUCACUGAAGAAGUGCUAAUUCGACUUCCUGAGUUCCAGCCUUAGCCUCCUGCGAGGUCAACGGACUCAGGGUGAAGAAGCCCCAGUGGAUACAGAGAGCAUAUUCCUGAUUAGGGAGCUUUACAAGCGGCCUGCAAAAGAAAAGGCAAAACUCCCAGCCUCUGUUUCAGAGAAGACAUCUCCGUCCAUCGUUUGGGGCUGAAUAAGCUACCUUCCUGGAUCACUUUUCUGAACAGCCGUGCCUUGGAAGGGGGCCUGAGCUGGACACCAGGGGACCUGGUGCUUUCACAGCCCUGCUGAGGAUUAGCUGUCUGACCUUGGAAAAGUCCUUUAAUCUCUUGGGGCUUCAGUUUCCUCUCCACUUAAUCUCUGAGGAACUUUCCAGUUCAAAAAUUAUUCUAUGACAGCAUUAUGCUUAAAGGAAAAGCAUUCUUGUGGACUUCCAACACAGUCUAUACCAAAACUGAUAUAUAAUAAUGUACACCUGAAAUUACACAAUGUUAUAAACCAAUAUGACCUCAACAAAAUAAAAAAUAAAAUAAAAUUAUAACAAAAAAAUUACUUAAAUACACAAACUUAGAACUAGAUAUAAACUCCUCAUGCAAAUAAUUUUAGAGAUUUGAAACAAGCAAAACAAUGAAUCCAAUAUAUUUUAAUCAGUAUACAUCAUUAUUAAAUUUUGAUUACUUUUGCUCAUUAAUAAUUGACAUUAUUAAUUCAAUGUGAUGGAUAAUACCAGUUUGCUGGAUCUAAAUUGCUGCUCACACCUGGACUAUAAUUUUCCAGAGCACGGCAUUCUAUUUGAUGACUCAGUUCUCCCGUCAUUCUCUCCCUUUGAACUAUUGUGAAAUUUUCUUCCAGCCAUGGCAUCAUUUGGCCUUUACUUUGGAAGAAUACACUGUUUACAUAUUCUAUCCUCCUUUGCUCUUUUCUCCUGAGCCUAAAAUGAUUAAAGCUACAUGGCACCCAAGGACACCACAAUCAGUGCCAAAGCUUCAUAAGGGGUCAUCCAAAUGAUCUCCAAAGUGGUUACAUUAGCAUUUUUGUUAGGUUAUUGUUGAAAUAAAAACACAAGAAUUUUAAUUUCUCAUAAAUUCACAAUUGUCUGGGAUCUCAGUUUGAGAAUGCUGUCUUAUGACUUCGCAGUGCCCGCAUGCUACCUCCUCGGAAGGACAGGACACAUGCAUCAGGCCCUCAGUUCUUCUAGAGCGUUUUGGAGAUGAGGAUGUAGAGCACAAGACCCAAUAUGUUUGCAAACAUUAUCAGAUGCAAGGUGAUGCCCAGAAAAGAAAAACUCGUGCUCACUCUUGCAGAAAUCCAAUCCCAUUCUCUGCUUUCCAAGAGAUUUAAGUAAGGAAAUAGGUCAGGAAGGUCCAAAGACCUAAAGGAGUAUUACUACAGUGGGACAAAUGCAGCCUGAGACCCACCUCUUGGGCUCCAGAGGGGCAGUCUCUUUGAUUUUAUGCAGGCUGCUGCCAUAGAAAAGGCUCAAGAGACUCAAAGGCACAAAGAGAAGCUAAUGGUGGCCAUUGUGAAAUAUGCUCCCGGGAGAGUGGAUAGCCUUCAUGACUGAGUUCAAGUUCGGCAAUCUCCAGAAACAUGAAGGAGCAGCCUACAGUACACAGGAACGCCAUCAGCACACAUGAGGUAAGGCUGACCUUCACGGUGCAGUCCAAACCCUGACACCCCAUGGUCAGAACAAUGUGAAGGUAGUGAUCUCGUGCUAAGGCACAGGAAGGUGAACUUGACAUAGAAAUUCUUCAUGACACAGAAGCCAACCACCUCACAAGAAGCCCAGAGUUCACUGUUGGCCCAUUAGGCUAGAGUGGAUGCAGUAUGAAACUAUCAGGCUCUGUGGGAGUUUGGCCACUGUCACAGAGAAGCAGAGAACAUUCCUUACCCUGCACUGGUGGAGGAGAAUUCGGAGGGCCAGACCAGGUGCCAACACUAGGGAUAACAUGGACACUGACAAGGUCUUGCAACUCCCAAAUUUUAUGGAGUAGUUGAAAACCUGGGAGGCAUGUGUUUUCAGAAAUAUUGGGUGGGGUCUUUUUCUUAUCAAGAAUAGGCUUCUUUCUUUAAGGUCUACUUCCUACCUCUUUCCUGUUGAAAUCCCUGUCCAGAAAGGCACAGAUCAAUUGUGGUAAUUGCUGCAAAGGCGAAAAAAAGAAAAAUCAAGGAUAUUAAAAUAAAGCCUGGAAUGGAACAUUAUUGAAAAGCCCCUGGGUCAUCCUUUCUUUUUAUUUUAAAUAAACUUUUUAUUUUGAGAUAAUUAUAGAUUCACAAGCGGGGUUGUAAGACAUAAAACGGUUAGAUUCCGUGUACCCAUUACCCAGUUUCCCUCAAAGGUAACACCUUGCAAAACCAUAGCACAAUAUAAAAACCAUGGUAUUGACAUGGAUACAGUCAAGAUACAGAACGUCUCCAUCACCACAAGGAUCCUUCGUGUUGAGCCUUCAUAGCCACACCCACUUCCCUCUCUGCCAACUACUGCUCUCUUCUCCAUUUCUACAAUUUUGCCAUUUCGAGAAUGUUAUAUUAAUGGAAUCGUGCAGUAUGUAACCUUUUGGGAUUGGCUUUUAUCCCACAGCAUAAUUCCCUGGAGAUAUAUCCCAG
Molecule: non-coding RNA, 2983 nt
Organism: Equus caballus (horse)
Lineage: Eukaryota; Metazoa; Chordata; Mammalia; Perissodactyla; Equidae
Source: RefSeq, a predicted model, not a curated record